UACGUAGGGUGCUAGCGUUGUUCGGAAUCAUUGGGCGUAAAGCGCGUGUAGGCGGUCAGGCAAGUCAGAUGUGAAAUCCCUGGGCUCAACCGAGGAAGUGCAUCCGAAACUGCUUGGCUAGAAGACGGUAGAGGAAGGUGGAAUUCCUAGUGUAGAGGUGAAAUUCGUAGAUAUUAGGAGGAAUACCGGUGGCGAAGGCGGCCUUCUGGGCCGAUCUUGACGCUGAGACGCGAAAGCGUGGGGAGCGAACCGG
Molecule: ribosomal RNA, 253 nt
Filed under: uncultured bacterium
Lineage: Bacteria
Description: partial 16S ribosomal RNA
Rfam family: Bacterial small subunit ribosomal RNA
Source: RNAcentral